GGGAAUAUGGCUUAGAGGUAGAGUGCUUGCCUAGCAUGCAUGAAGCCCUGGGUUCAUUUUCUCAGUACCG
RNAcentral lists this transfer RNA (70 nucleotides) under Dipodomys ordii (Ord's kangaroo rat). It matches the Rfam family "tRNA". From Rfam's summary of the family: Transfer RNA (tRNA) molecules are approximately 80 nucleotides in length. The record is from Rfam by way of RNAcentral. Lineage: Eukaryota; Metazoa; Chordata; Mammalia; Rodentia; Heteromyidae.